UGGGGCCGCCUCGGCCCCGCCCCCUCGCCGCGGUGCCUGAGGGCUCGGUCGGGGGGAGGCGGUGGGAGACGCUCUGAGGGUCCCCCAGCGCCCGCCCUGCGCCCCCGGCCCCGGGGCCUCUUCCUUGCCGAUCACCGCCUCCUGCCGUCCCCGCCGCCUUUGUCUCCUUCCUAGAGCCACUGGCUGAUGGGGCAGCGCGGGACGCUGACCCCGGCGCUGCGGUCCGCCGCGAGCGGCGCGGCCGGUGUGUCCCGGCUGCGAGGGCUACGGCAGCCGUGAGUUAGCAAGGUCACAGAGGCCUCGGUGAGCCGUCAGACUGCUCCUCACCACCCACACCUAGCCCUCGGCCCCGAACAAGAAGCUGGUGCUGGUUCACGUGGACCGAUGGGGUCCGGUGUCCGCGGGUGAGAAACAGCAGCGGCCUUGGUGUGGUCCCUGCGAGCUCGGUGAGCUGGAGACCUGUCUGGACAGCUGGCACUGUAGUGGAUGCGGGUCUGCUUGCUGGCAAAUGGUGGGGCUGGUCUGGUUCCUUCUUCAGGGUGGUGUUGGUGAAGGUGGCUACAGGAGCCCCUGCCUAUCUGCAUAGAAUCAUAGAACCAUGGAACAGCCCAGGCUUGAAGGGAGCUGGCAAGAUCAUUGGUCAGACUACUGUGGGAGAAAGACUAGGUUGCUGAAUUGUCGGCAUCUUUGGAAUAGUUGGACACCUCCAGUGACAUAUGGAUGUGCUGCACACAUUGCUGGUGCCCUGUGCAAGGUCAAGUGCUUGGAAAGAAGCCCAAACAGCUUCCUGGCUCAGGAAAUGUGGACACAGAGUGAGCAGGACAUUGGGGUGAUGAAGAGAAAAGAGGACUGACCCUCCAUGGCCUGCAAGGGAUGAAGCAGCACUACUGGACUACUUUCUUUGCUGUGGUAGGAACACAAACUGGUGAUGGAUUUUGAUCUGACUGGUACACAAGGAUGUCUUCAGGGUGAGGCUGAGUACAAUACAGGGGUUUCCCCACUUUUGUGCUGGCUGGAGAUGCACCACCCCAGAGCACAAACUUGUCUUUGCUUGGGUGCCCAGAGCGAUUUGUGCCCAUUACACAGCAUGAAUACUUUGUAAGACCAAAGCAGCUCUGCUUACUGAUGUCCUUGUACUUGAUGUGGUACAUGAAGAUUGGUUCUAUUGAUUAGCACUAAAAUGUUUUCUCUGCCUAUUUUUGCCUAUUCCAAAGAAGGUUCUGCUGGCUAAAGCCAAACAAAGUAUUUUGUACCAUUCCCCCCAGCUAGCUGCAAUAGCCUCGAUGUAAUUCCCUUGUGAUUUCCCUAUGGCAUUACUUUUGCCACGUUCCUGGACUCCCUGAGCCUGACACUAAGCACAAGGAUUUUGACUGUAACAAAAGGAGUGAGUUCACCAAGUAUUGCUUCACAAGGAGGAAAUUAAAAUAAAAUUAAAUAAAAUAAAAUUUUAAAAAAUUAA
Molecule: long non-coding RNA, 1459 nt
Organism: Haemorhous mexicanus (house finch)
Lineage: Eukaryota; Metazoa; Chordata; Aves; Passeriformes; Fringillidae
Exons: 3
Source: RefSeq, a predicted model, not a curated record